Molecule: ribosomal RNA, 406 nt
Filed under: uncultured bacterium
Lineage: Bacteria
Description: partial 16S ribosomal RNA
Rfam family: Bacterial small subunit ribosomal RNA
Source: RNAcentral
AUUGAACGCUGGCGGCAUGCCUAACACAUGCAAGUCGAACGGGUGGCGGACGGGGGAGUUAAUUUUUGGAAACGUCCCGAUGGAGGGGGAUAACCACUUGAAACGGUAGCCUAUUCCGCAUACCUACGGAAGCGGCCAGAUGGGAUUAGCUAGUUGGUGGGGUAAAGGCUCACCUAGGCGACGAUCCCUAGCUGGUCUGAGAGGAUGAACAGCCACACUGGAACUGAGACACGGUCCAGACUCCUACGGGAGGCAGCAGUGGGGAAUAUUGGACAAUGGGCGCAAGCCUGAUGCAGCCAUGCCGCGUGUAUGAAGAAGGCCUUCGGGUUGUAAAGUACUUUCAGCGGGGAGGCGUUACCCACAGAAGAAGCACCGGCUAACUACGUGCCAGCAGCCGCGGUAAUUC